This 485-nucleotide ribosomal RNA is filed under the name uncultured bacterium. RNAcentral describes it as "partial 16S ribosomal RNA". It matches the Rfam family "Bacterial small subunit ribosomal RNA", at positions 899 to 1397 of the family's 1533-position model. The record is from RNAcentral.
ACUCAAAGGAAUAGACGGGGACCCACACAAGCGGUGGAGCAUGGGGUUUAAUUCGAUGAUAAGCGAAGAACCUCACCCAGGCUUGACAUGUCAGGAACGCUCCCGAAAAGGAGCCGUGCCGCAAGGAACCUGAACACAGGCGCUGCACGGUCGUCGUCAGCUCGUGCCUUGAGGUGUACUGUUAAGUCAGCCAACGAGCGCAACCCUCAUCCUCUGUUGUUUUUUCAGGGGAGACUGCCGCCUCCAAGGCGGAGGAAGGUGGGGAUGACGUCAGAUCAGCGUGGCCUUUAUGCCUGGGGCAACACCCAUGCUACAAUGGCCGGUACAGAGGGCAGCGAACCCGCGAGGGGGAGCUAAUCCCAUCAAAACCGGUCUCAGUUCGGAUUGAAGUCUGCAACUCGACUUCAUGAAGUUGGAAUCGCUAGUAACCGUGGAUCAGCUACGCCACGGUGAAUAUGUUCCUGGGUCUUGUACACACCGCCCGU